CCCUUAGAUGUUCUGGGCCGCACGCGCGCUACACUGACGAUGGCAACGAGUUUUUCCUUCGCCGAAAGGUGUGGAUAAUCUUUUGAAACAUCGUCGUGCUGGGGAUAGAUCAUUGCAAUUUUUCAUCUUCAACGAGGAAUGCCUAGUAAACGCAAGUCAUCAGCUUGCAUUGAUUACGUCCCUGCCCUUUGUACACACCGCCCGUCGCUCCUACCGAUUGAAUGAUCCGAUGAAUAUCAUGGAUUGAGGAUGCAAGCAGGUUCGCCUGUCUUCAUCUUCGAGAAGUGAAGUAAAUCUUAUCAUUUAGAGGAAGGAGAAGUCGUAACA
RNAcentral lists this ribosomal RNA (327 nucleotides) under uncultured eukaryote. RNAcentral describes it as "partial 18S ribosomal RNA". It matches the Rfam family "Eukaryotic small subunit ribosomal RNA", at positions 1470 to 1796 of the family's 1831-position model. The record is from RNAcentral.